RNAcentral lists this RNase P RNA (342 nucleotides) under Clostridiales bacterium. Its description in RNAcentral is "RNase P RNA component class A". It matches the Rfam family "Bacterial RNase P class A". Rfam says of the family: Ribonuclease P (RNase P) is a ubiquitous endoribonuclease, found in archaea, bacteria and eukarya as well as chloroplasts and mitochondria. Its best characterised activity is the generation of mature 5'-ends of tRNAs by cleaving the 5'-leader elements of precursor-tRNAs. The record is from RNAcentral. Lineage: Bacteria; Bacillati; Bacillota; Clostridia; Eubacteriales.
CGAGUAAACCGGAUGGCCGCAUGCGUUUCAGCGCAUGAGGAAAGUCCGAGCACCGCAGGGCAGGGUGCUGGGUAAUACCCAGUGGAGGCGACUCUAAGGAGAGUGCAACAGAAAUAUACCGCGGCCUUAUAAAAAGGACGUAAGGGUGGAAAGGUGAGGUAAGAGCUCACCAGCGGCCUGGCGACUUGUCCGCUCUGUAAACCCCACCUGGUGCAAGAUUAAUAGGGAAGCGCCGUUGGCGGCCCGCCAAGCUUCCGGGUAAUCGCUUGAGCCUGCCGGCGACGGCAGGCCUAGACAGAUGGCCAUUCAAGACAGAACUCGGCUUACAGGUUUGCUCGUAUU